UCAGAGUGAACGCUGGCGGCGUGCUUACACAUGCAAGUCGAACGAUGAAGCUCUAGCUGCUAGAGUGGAUUAGUGGCGCACGGGUGAGGAAUAUAUAGCUAAUGUGCCCCAUAGAGGGGGAUAACAGUUGGAAACGACUGCUAAUACCCCAUACUCCUUCUUCUCAUAAGGGAAGUCGGGAAAGUUUUUUCGCUAUGGGAUCGGGCUAUACGGUAUCAGCUUGUUGGUGAGGUAACGGCUCACCAAGGCUAUGACGCCUAUCUGGUCUGAGAGGAUGAUCAGACACACUGGAACUGAGACACGGUCCAGACUCCUACGGGAGGCAGCAGUGGGGAAUAUUACACAAUGGAGGCAACUCUGAUGUAGCAACGCCGCGUGGAGGAUGACACAUUUCGGUGCGUAAACUCCUUUUAUAUAGGAAGAUAAUGACGGUACUAUAUGAAUAAGCACCGGCUAACUCCGUGCCAGCAGCCGCGGUAAUACGGAGGGUGCAAGCGUUACUCGGAAUCACUGGGCGUAACGCGCGCGCAGGCGGCCCCUUAACUCGGAUGUGAAAUCCUAUGGCUCAACCAU
This 573-nucleotide ribosomal RNA is filed under the name uncultured Campylobacterota bacterium. Its description in RNAcentral is "bacterial SSU rRNA". It matches the Rfam family "Bacterial small subunit ribosomal RNA", at positions 24 to 616 of the family's 1533-position model. The record is from RNAcentral. Lineage: Bacteria; Pseudomonadati; Campylobacterota.